UGUUGAGCUUGACUCUAGUCUGACUCUGUGAAGAGACAUGAGAGGUGUAGCAUAAGUGGGAGGCCGUGAACCCUCGCGGUUGUGUCGUGCCGUCAGUGAAAUACCACUACUUUCAUCGUUUCUUUACUUACUCGGUGAAGCGGAAAGCGGACCAUGAGUGUCCACGCUUCUAGCACUAAGUGCAAGGCCCUUCGUUGGCCCGCACGAUCUGUUCCGAGGACAGUGUCAGGCGGGGAGUUUGACUGGGGCGGUACAUCUGUCAAAUGGUAACGCAGGUGUCCUAAGGCGAGCUCAGCGAGGACAGAAACCUCGCGUAGAGCAAAAGGGCAAAUGCUUGCUUGAUCUUUUGCUCUACGCGAGACAGUUGAUAAGGCAAGUGUCUGCCUUAUCAACUGUCGAUGGUAGGUUAUGCGCCUACCAUGGUUGUUACGGGUAACGGAGAAUCAGGGUUCGAUUCCGGAGAGGGAGCCUGAGAAACGGCUACCACA
RNAcentral lists this ribosomal RNA (488 nucleotides) under Ixodes scapularis (black-legged tick). RNAcentral describes it as "eukaryotic large subunit ribosomal RNA". It matches the Rfam family "Eukaryotic large subunit ribosomal RNA", at positions 2414 to 2822 of the family's 3401-position model. Lineage: Eukaryota; Metazoa; Arthropoda; Arachnida; Ixodida; Ixodidae. The record is from RNAcentral.